AGUUAAAAAGCCAAUUGGGUGAGCUAUGCAUGUAGAAGUUAGGCUGAAGGAUUAGCGGACGCGGGUUCAAUUCCCGCCGCCUCCACCA
Molecule: transfer-messenger RNA, 88 nt
Filed under: Gammaproteobacteria bacterium
Lineage: Bacteria; Pseudomonadati; Pseudomonadota; Gammaproteobacteria
Description: partial transfer-messenger RNA
Rfam family: transfer-messenger RNA
About the family: Bacterial tmRNA, also known as 10Sa RNA or SsrA, is named for its dual tRNA and mRNA-like properties.
Source: RNAcentral